This 503-nucleotide ribosomal RNA is filed under the name uncultured bacterium. Its description in RNAcentral is "bacterial SSU rRNA". It matches the Rfam family "Bacterial small subunit ribosomal RNA", at positions 28 to 524 of the family's 1533-position model. The record is from RNAcentral.
GACGAACGCUGGCGGCGUGGAUUAGGCAUGCAAGUCGAACGGUAUCAUCCUUUCGGGGGUGAGAGAGUGGCGAACUGGUGAGUAACACGUAGGUUAUCUACCCUCAAGACGGGGACAACCCAGGGAAACUUGGGCUAAUACCGGAUGUGAGCAACUUUUAGUUGUUUGAAAGGUGGCGUAAGCUGUCGCUUGGGGAUGAGCCUGCGUCCUAUUAGUUAGUUGGUGAGGUAACGGCUCACCUAGGCAAUGAUAGGUAGGCGGCCUUAACGGGUGGUCGCCCACACUGGGAUUGAGAUACGGCCCAGACUCCUACGGGAGGCAGCAGUCGAGAAUAGUCUACAAUGGUCGGAAGACUGAUAGUGCGACGCCGCGUGAACGAUGAAUCCCUUCGGGGUGUAAAGUUCUUUUAUAUGUGAGCAGUGCUUCUUAUAUUAACAGUAUGGGGAGAGAGAUAUAGCAUAUGAAUAAGCAACGGCUAACUCCGUGCCAGCAGCCGCGGUAAG